CACGUAGGCGGUCCACUAAGUUGGAUGUGAAAGCCCCGGGCUCAACCCGGGAAGUGCAUACAAAACUGGUGGACUUGAAUAUGGAAGAGGGUCGCGGAAUUCCCGGUGUAGAGGUGAAAUUCGUAGAUAUCGGGAGGAACACCAGUGGCGAAGGCGGCGACCUGGGCCAAUAUUGACGCUGAGGUGCGAAAGCGUGGGGAGCAAACA
RNAcentral lists this ribosomal RNA (207 nucleotides) under uncultured bacterium. RNAcentral describes it as "partial 16S ribosomal RNA". It matches the Rfam family "Bacterial small subunit ribosomal RNA", at positions 568 to 774 of the family's 1533-position model. The record is from RNAcentral.